GUCUCAGGCUGAUGGAGUGAGUGAUGGAGUGGGUUGCCAACUGUCAUUACUCCACUUGGUGCAGAAUAACUGUCAGAAAUCUAUUCACAUAUGCCCAAAGAAGUCUGCCCAGGGUGAAACAAAUGCCUUUGAGGU
Molecule: non-coding RNA, 135 nt
Organism: Tupaia belangeri (northern tree shrew)
Lineage: Eukaryota; Metazoa; Chordata; Mammalia; Scandentia; Tupaiidae
Source: Rfam